GACAUAAGUAACGAUAAAGCGGGUGAAAAGCCCGCUCGCCGGAAGACCAAGGGUUCCUGUCCAACGUUAAUCGGGGCAGGGUGAGUCGACCCCUAAGGCGAGGCCGAAAGGCGUAGUCGAUGGGAAACAGGUUAAUAUUCCUGUACUUGGUGUUACUGCGAAGGGGGGACGGAGAAGGCUAUGUUAGCCGGGCGACGGUUGUCCCGGUUUAAGCAUGUAGGCUGGUUAUCCAGGCAAAUCCGGAUAACCAAGGCUGAGGUGUGAUGACGAGGCACUACGGUGCUGAAGUAACAAAUGCCCUGCUUCCAGGAAAAGCCUCUAAGCAUCAGGUAACAUCAAAUCGUACCCCAAACCGACACAGGUGGUCAGGUAGAGAAUACCAAGGCGCUUGAGAGAACUCGGGUGAAGGAACUAGGCAAAAUGGUGCCGUAACUUCGGGAGAAGGCACGCUGGUGUGUAGGUGAAGUCCCUGCGGAUGGAGCUGAGACCAGUCGAAGAUACCAGCUGGCUGCAACUGUUUAUUAAAAACACAGCACUGUGCAAACACGAAAGUGGACGUAUACGGUGUGACGCCUGCCCGGUGCCGGAAGGUUAAUUGAUGGGGUUAUCCGUAAGGAGAAGCUCUUGAUCGAAGCCCCGGUAAACGGCGGCCGUAACUAUAACGGUCCUAAGGUAGCGAAAUUCCUUGUCGGGUAAGUUCCGACCUGCACGAAUGGCGUAAUGAUGGCCAGGCUGUCUCCACCCGAGACUCAGUGAAAUUGAACUCGCUGUGAAGAUGCAGUGUACCCGCGGCAAGACGGAAAGACCCCGUGAACCUUUACUAUAGCUUGACACUGAACAUUGAGCCUUGAUGUGUAGGAUAGGUGGGAGGCUUUGAAGCGUGGACGCCAGUCUGCGUGGAGCCAACCUUGAAAUACCACCCUUUAAUGUUUGAUGUUCUAACGUUGGCCCCUGACCGGGGUUGCGGACAGUGUCUGGUGGGUAGUUUGACUGGGGCGGUCUCCUCCCAAAGCGUAACGGAGGAGCACGAAGGUUAGCUAAUCCUGGUCGGACAUCAGGAGGUUAGUGCAAUGGCAUAAGCUAGCUUGACUGCGAGCGUGACGGCGCGAGCAGGUGCGAAAGCAGGUCAUAGUGAUCCGGUGGUUCUGAAUGGAAGGGCCAUCGCUCAACGGAUAAAAGGUACUCCGGGGAUAACAGGCUGAUACCGCCCAAGAGUUCAUAUCGACGGCGGUGUUUGGCACCUCGAUGUCGGCUCAUCACAUCCUGGGGCUGAAGUAGGUCCCAAGGGUAUGGCUGUUCGCCAUUUAAAGUGGUACGCGAGCUGGGUUUAGAACGUCGUGAGACAGUUCGGUCCCUAUCUGCCGUGGGCGCUGGAGAAUUGAGGGGGGCUGCUCCUAGUACGAGAGGACCGGAGUGGACGCAUCACUGGUGUUCGGGUUGUCAUGCCAAUGGCACUGCCCGGUAGCUAAAUGCGGAAGAGAUAAGUGCUGAAAGCAUCUAAGCACGAAACUUGCCCCGAGAUGAGUUCUCCCUGAGACUAUAAGUCUCCUGAAGGAACGUUGAAGACGACGACGUUGAUAGGCCGGGUGUGUAAGCGCAGCGAUGCGUUGAGCUAACCGGUACUAAUGAACCGUGAGGCUUAACCUU
This 1647-nucleotide ribosomal RNA is filed under the name Klebsiella pneumoniae. RNAcentral describes it as "bacterial LSU rRNA". It matches the Rfam family "Bacterial large subunit ribosomal RNA", at positions 1299 to 2925 of the family's 2925-position model. The record is from RNAcentral. Lineage: Bacteria; Pseudomonadati; Pseudomonadota; Gammaproteobacteria; Enterobacterales; Enterobacteriaceae.